UGUGAGGGUGCAAUAUGGGAACUUGAAGAAAAGAACAAAGGUUACUUACAAAACAUUAAAUCCUCAGUGGAAUCAGACCUUAGAUUUCCCUGAUGAUGGCAGCCCCUUAGAGUUGCAUGUGAAAGACCACAAUGCUCUGCUGCCUACAUCAAGCAUAGGCAACUGUGUGGUUGAAUAUCAGAGAUUGCCAACAAAUCAGAUGUCUGACAAGUGGAUACCGCUCCAAGGAGUGAAAAGGGGAGAGAUCCAUAUUCAGAUUACUAGGAAAGUUCCAGAAGUACAGAAGAGACC
RNAcentral lists this unclassified non-coding RNA (291 nucleotides) under Hevea brasiliensis (rubber tree). The record is from RNAcentral. Lineage: Eukaryota; Viridiplantae; Streptophyta; Magnoliopsida; Malpighiales; Euphorbiaceae.